RNAcentral lists this ribosomal RNA (484 nucleotides) under uncultured bacterium. RNAcentral's name for it is "partial 16S ribosomal RNA". It matches the Rfam family "Bacterial small subunit ribosomal RNA", at positions 30 to 507 of the family's 1533-position model. The record is from RNAcentral.
AUUGAACGCUGGCGGCAGGCCUAACACAUGCAAGUCGAGCGGAUGAAGGGAGCUUGCUCCUGGAUUCAGCGGCGAACGGGUGAGUAAUGCCUAGGAAUCUGCCUGGUAGUGGGGGAUAACGCCCGGAAACGGGCGCUAAUACCGCAUACGUCCUGAGGGAGAAAGAGGGGGAUCUUCGGACAUCACGCUAUCAGAUGAGCCUAGGUCGGAUUAGCUAGUUGGUGGGGUAAAGGCCUACCAAGGCGACGAUCCGUAACUGGUCUGAGAGGAUGAUCAGUCACACUGGAACUGGGACACGGUCCAGACUCCUACGGGAGGCAGCAGUGGGGAAUAUUGGACAAUGGGCGAAAGCCUGAUCCAGCCAUGCCGCGUGUGUGAAGAAGGUCUUCGGAUUGUAAAGCACUUUAAGUUGGGAGGACGGGCAGUAAGUUAAUACCUUGCUGUUUUGACGUUACCAACAGAAUAAGCACCGGCUAACUUCGUG